RNAcentral lists this long non-coding RNA (981 nucleotides) under Medicago truncatula (barrel medic). RNAcentral describes it as "lncRNA gene23128". The record is from RNAcentral. Lineage: Eukaryota; Viridiplantae; Streptophyta; Magnoliopsida; Fabales; Fabaceae.
UAUAAUAUAUUUUACCUCUUUUCAAUAUUUUUUUUAAAUACAUGCUAAAUUUAUAAGAAAAAAACAAUUAUUCUAUGUAAUCAUACAAAUCUAAAGUCGCUAAAAACAAAAAGAAUGAACCCGCAAACAAACACAACAAACUCACAACAUCCAUGUUAAUAACAUAAAACAGAAAAGUAUUUAUGCCUACAAAUACAACUAUAUUCAAUUAUCUGGAAUACUCAUGUCUUCUGAUCUGUAACGUUGGCGACUCCAAAGUCAUUGAUCGGAUCUGCACUUGCUUAAAGUUAAUCUUCAAUCCUAAAUAAAAUAAACACCGCACUAAGACGUGAAAUAAAAAACACACCGGACAAAGGCGAGAAAUCAAAACAAACACAGUUGUGCAGAGACAACGAAACCAUAAAAAUAAAUGAAAGAAAACUGAAAAUAUGUGGAAAUCACUUAUUCAAUUAGGAUAGAAGGAAAAACAAUUCGAAAGGGUGAUUUUGGGUCAAAAUUAACCCUAAAUCACCCUUGUUCGGUAGACAAGAAGAAGAAAGGGGCUACGCUACGGUUUGAGAAGGAAAGAAGAGAGAGAAAAAUAGAGAUAUGCAAGGAAGUUUUUGUGUUUGUCAUAAAAAUUGAAAUGCUAGAGAAACAUAAAUCAAAUUUUAAAGUAAAUUAUAAAAAUGCAAACAUUAUGACAUACAAAUAAAAUUGUAUGUUUAGAGGUAAGAUAAUGAUUUUUAAACUUAAUUCUUACUCCAUCACGAGCUCGCAUAAUUUAUUAAUGCACUUCAUAACCAAGGCUAACUCUUCUGGACAAUCAGCAUCAGAAACGCAGGGAAUGAGACCUAUGUUGUAAUAUAGGAAAGUUACUAAAAGAUGAUAUAACAUUGUGUAUAAGAUAAAUUAGAAAAUUGGAAUGUGGUGUGAAAAGAGACAUACCACCAUUGGUUACAAUAAUAAAUAUGGAAAGAAAGAUGAUCAAAUCAUAAAUAA